This 380-nucleotide ribosomal RNA is filed under the name uncultured euryarchaeote. RNAcentral describes it as "bacterial SSU rRNA". It matches the Rfam family "Archaeal small subunit ribosomal RNA", at positions 471 to 851 of the family's 1478-position model. Lineage: Archaea; Methanobacteriati; Methanobacteriota. The record is from RNAcentral.
UAAUACCUGAGGCCCGAGUGAUGGCCGCUAUUAUUGGGUCUAAAGCGUCCGUAGCCGGUUUGGUAAGUUCCUGGUGAAAUCGUCCGGUAGACUGGACGGCGUGCUGGGAAUACUACUAGACUUGAGACCGGGAGAGGGUGGGGGUACUUAUGGGGUAGGGGUUAAAUCCUGUAAUCCCAUAGGGACCACCUGUGGCGAAGGCGCCCACCUGGAACGGGUCUGACGGUGAGGGACGAAAGCGUGGGUAGCGACCGGGAUUAGAUACCCCGUUAGUCCACGCCGUAAACGAUGCCCGCUUGGUGUUGCCGGCUUCUUGGGAGUCGGCUGUGCCGUAGAGUAGUUGUUAAGCGGGCCACCUGGGGAGUACGUCCGCAAGGAUG